UACGGAGGGUGCAAGCGUCGUUCGGAAUCAUUGGGCGUAAAGCGCGUGUAGGCGGCUUGGCAAGUCGGUUGUGAAAGCCCGGGGCCCAACCCCGGAACUGCAUCUGAAACUGCCUGGCUAGAGUCCCGGAGAGGAAGGCAGAAUUCCCGGUGUAGCAGUGAAAUGCGUAGAGAUCGGGAGGAACAUCAGUUGCGAAGGCGGCUCUCUGGACCAGCACUGACACUGAGGCACGAAAGCGUGGGGAGCAAACAGG
This 253-nucleotide ribosomal RNA is filed under the name uncultured bacterium. RNAcentral's name for it is "partial 16S ribosomal RNA". It matches the Rfam family "Bacterial small subunit ribosomal RNA", at positions 524 to 776 of the family's 1533-position model. The record is from RNAcentral.